This 216-nucleotide long non-coding RNA is filed under the name Phoenix dactylifera (date palm). Its description in RNAcentral is "long non-coding RNA (PDAC_LNC011072)". Lineage: Eukaryota; Viridiplantae; Streptophyta; Magnoliopsida; Arecales; Arecaceae. The record is from RNAcentral.
CCCCGUAAAGUGCAGAGACGACCCUCUCAGCAAAUCAGAAAGGCAAGGAUUCAAACGGUACAAUUCCAGAGUCGUCCCCGUAAAGAGCCGAGUCGUCCCCAGACAACGUAAAAAGUAAAAUCUUGUAGCCGAGACGUCUCUCGUUGAAGCAGAGACGUCCCCGGAGCGCCUGGGACGCGACUGACAGCUUUUACAGGUUUGGUUUGAAUUUCAAAU